This 576-nucleotide long non-coding RNA is filed under the name Betta splendens (Siamese fighting fish). RNAcentral's name for it is "lncRNA (ENSBSLG00000018903.1)". Lineage: Eukaryota; Metazoa; Chordata; Actinopteri; Anabantiformes; Osphronemidae. The record is from RNAcentral.
AUGAAGCACCAAGUCAUAGUUAAAUGUCCCAUAAACACGUCUGACGGCUUGUUUCCACGGUUCAUGCAGAAGCUGGAAGCGACGACCGUGGAUCCAGUCCAGAUGUGGAGAACUGCAGCUUCUGGGCCGGUCCUGCAUCAGAUGUCAGAAAAGCAGCAGCGAUAUCACUCAAGUCGCUGCUGGGACUCUGGAGACGCAGCGAGACUGAGAUGUUGUGACAAAGAUGUCACAGACGAGGCAGGAAUCCUGCAGCUCGGAGGCUCGUGGUGCUGCAGCGGAGCGGGCGCCUCCUCAGCCUCCGGUGUCGGCAUCCGUUGGCCUGCUGCAGCUGCAGCCCGAGCGGAACCAAAGAACCUGGACUGUUUAACGGAGACGUCUAGACAGGUUUUGACCUUCACGCCUAAUGCGGCGCUCGGCCCCAGUUUUGGUCGGACUCGGCAGCAACAGGUGGGAGAGACGAUGAGGAUGAGGAUGAGUCCUGCUGUCAUAGAGACGGCGUGUGAUCACCGCUGCUUCUUAAAUCAGUUCAGUUCCUGCUGCUUUGUACUUCUCUGCGUUUCAGAGGGCAAAUACUGA